UUGAAAGCAUGUCAUAGCAAAACAAGUUAAUAUCUCCAUUGAAUUAAUGUACCCUUUUGGUUGGGUUAUUUUUUUCCUAAAAUAUAAUAUUCACCCUUUUAAUGCUAGCAAUGAGAUCAUGAUGAAGUGAAAUGGAGAUUUUAUUGAUCCUAAACCAUUUUUGUUUAUGACAGGGCAAAAGAAUAAAAAGCGGAGAAGAGAAAAAAACUUGGGCUAAUGUUCAACAACAAUGCUGAUGUUGCUGCCAAGAUGUGAGAAUGGACUUCAUUCUAUUGGAGAUCCCAUCUCAGGCAGCCUAAAGUGAUUAUGGAGUAGCAGAGCAGCAGCAGCAGCAUUAUUGCUGUGGGGAGGGUUGAUGCUCUUGGUUGCACUCAUUUCCCCAUGGGAAGACUUGCCUGCUUCUCCGAGCAGCCUUAAUUACAAAGCUGGAAUUGCUUCCUAGUAGUGAUGAAGAAAUAAUUUCUUCUGGCUGAGAAACCCUACAUUGGUAGACCUUCUGUCACAGCUGUCACACACAAGGAGAGAAAAUGAGUUAUUUGCAGAAUCACAGGAUGGGUAAUGCAAUGAUGCCAUUAUUUGAGUGCACAAGGAUGUUCUAGCUGCUGAGCUGAUGAAGAAAAUCCAGACAGCAUUUAUUUUAUAAACUCCAUGUCUUUCUCUUUUAAAUGUUCCAUUUUCACCUACCAUGAAACAACAAGAACAUUUAUACAGCCCAGAAGAUGAAGCCACAGGUAGAACAACCAAUUUUCUGUUCUCAUGUGAUCAUUUUCCCAGCUUCAGUUUUAAUUUGAUGGGAAAUACCAAAAAACAUUUGGAGGAGUUUGCCCUAACUCAGCUGUAAUCAGAAAUACUGAUUUUUGGCUGAUUUCAAUGCUUGUGUGCUUACUUGUGGUUCCCUCAAAGACCUGAAAAAUAAAAAUAAAUACAUUUUAGCAGA
Molecule: long non-coding RNA, 937 nt
Organism: Taeniopygia guttata (zebra finch)
Lineage: Eukaryota; Metazoa; Chordata; Aves; Passeriformes; Estrildidae
Source: RefSeq, a predicted model, not a curated record